GCCAGGCGUGAUGGCACAUGCCUGUAGUCCCAGCUACUCGGGAGGCUGAGGUAGGAGAAUCUCUUGAGCCCAGGAGGUGGAGUUUGCAGUGAGCCAAGAUUGUGCCACUGCACUCCAGCCUGGGUGACAGAGUGAGACCCUAUCUCAA
This 148-nucleotide non-coding RNA is filed under the name Chlorocebus sabaeus (green monkey). The record is from Rfam by way of RNAcentral. Lineage: Eukaryota; Metazoa; Chordata; Mammalia; Primates; Cercopithecidae.